CAAUAGCGUAUAUUUAAGUUGUUGCAGUUAAAAAGCUCGUAGUUGGAUUUUGGGUGGGACGCAGCGGUCUCGCAUUGCGUUUGUACUGCUGCAGCCCUCCUUCUUGCCGGGGGCGGCCUCUCGGACUUCACUGUCUGGGGGUCAGAAUCGGCGAUGUUACUUUGAGUAAAUUAGAGUGUUCAAAGCAAGCUUACGCUCUGAAUAUAAUAGCAUGGGAUAACACGACAGGACUCUGGCCUAUCGUGUUGGUCUAUAGGACCAGAGUAAUGAUUAAGAGGGACAGUCGGGGGCAUUCGUAUUCCGUUGUCAGAGGUGAAAUUCUUGGAUUUACGGAAGACGAACAUCUGCGAAAGCAUUUGCCAAGGAUGUUUUCAUUGA
This 378-nucleotide ribosomal RNA is filed under the name uncultured eukaryote. Its description in RNAcentral is "partial 18S ribosomal RNA". It matches the Rfam family "Eukaryotic small subunit ribosomal RNA", at positions 592 to 976 of the family's 1831-position model. The record is from RNAcentral.